Molecule: ribosomal RNA, 662 nt
Filed under: uncultured bacterium
Lineage: Bacteria
Description: bacterial SSU rRNA
Rfam family: Bacterial small subunit ribosomal RNA
Source: RNAcentral
GUUAGAGUUUGAUCAUGGCUCAGGAUGAACGCUGGCGGCNNGCUUAACACAUGCAAGUCGAACGGAGAGCGUAUGACAGAGGAUUCGUCCAAUGGAUUGCGUUUCUUAGUGGCGGACGGGUGAGUAACGCGUGAGGAACCCGCCUCGGAGUGGGGAAUAACACAACGAAAGCUGUGCUAAUACCGCAUGAUGCAGCUGGGUCGCAUGACUCUGGCUGCCAAAGAUUUAUCGCUCUGAGAUGGCCUCGCGUCUGAUUAGCUGGUUGGCGGGGUAACGGCCCACCAAGGCGGCGAUCAGUAGCCGGACUGAGAGGUUGGCCGGCCACAUUGGGACUGAGACACGGCCCAGACUCCUACGGGAGGCAGCAGUGGGGAAUAUUGGGCAAUGGGCGCAAGCCUGACCCAGCAACGCCGCGUGAAGGAAGAAGGCCCUCGGGUUGUAAACUUCUUUUGUCAGGGACGAAGCAAGUGACGGUACCUGACGAAUAAGCCACGGCUAACUACGUGCCAGCAGCCGCGGUAAUACGUAGGUGGCAAGCGUUAUCCGGAUUUACUAGGUGUAAAGGGCGUGUAGGCGGGGUUGCAAGUCAGAUGUGAAAACCACGGGCUCAACCUGUGGCCUGCAUUUGAAACUGCAGUUCUUGAGUACUGGAGAGGCAGACG